RNAcentral lists this ribosomal RNA (253 nucleotides) under uncultured bacterium. Its description in RNAcentral is "partial 16S ribosomal RNA". It matches the Rfam family "Bacterial small subunit ribosomal RNA", at positions 524 to 776 of the family's 1533-position model. The record is from RNAcentral.
UACGAAGGGUCCAAGCGUUGUUCGGAAUUAUUGGGCGUAAAGCGCACGUAGGCGGAUUCGUAAGUCAGAUGUGAAAGCCCCGGGCUCAACCUGGGAAUUGCAUUUGAAACUGCGAACCUUGAAUGCUUGAGAGGGUGACGGAAUUCCUGGUGUAGAAGUGAAAUUCGUAGAUAUCAGGAGGAACACCGGAGGCGAAGGCGGUUGCCUGGCGAUGCAUUGACGCUGAGGUGCGAAAGCGUGGGUAGCAAACAGG